This 1372-nucleotide ribosomal RNA is filed under the name uncultured bacterium. RNAcentral describes it as "bacterial SSU rRNA". It matches the Rfam family "Bacterial small subunit ribosomal RNA", at positions 28 to 1381 of the family's 1533-position model. The record is from RNAcentral.
GAUGAACGCUGGCGGCGUGCCUAAUACAUGCAAGUCGAGCGAACGGACGAGAAGCUUGCUUCUCUGAUGUUAGCGGCGGACGGGUGAGUAGCACGUGGAUAACCUACCUAUAAGACUGGGAUAACUUCGGGAAACCGGAGCUAAUACCGGAUAAUAUUUUGAACCGCAUGGUUCAAAAGUGAAAGACGGUCUUGCUGUCACUUAUAGAUGGAUCCGCGCUGCAUUAGCUAGUUGGUAAGGUAACGGCUUACCAAGGCAACGAUGCAUAGCCGACCUGAGAGGGUGAUCGGCCACACUGGAACUGAGACACGGUCCAGACUCCUACGGGAGGCAGCAGUAGGGAAUCUUCCGCAAUGGGCGAAAGCCCGACGGAGCAACGCCGCGUGAGUGAUGAAGGUCUUCGGAUCGUAAAACUCUGUUAUUAGGGAAGAACAUAUGUGUAAGUAACUGUGCACAUCUUGACGGUACCUAAUCAGAAAGCCACGGCUAACUACGUGCCAGCAGCCGCGGUAAUACGUAGGUGGCAAGCGUUAUCCGGAAUUAUUGGGCGUAAAGCGCGCGUAGGCGGUUUUUUAAGUCUGAUGUGAAAGCCCACGGCUCAACCGUGGAGGGUCAUUGGAAACUGGAAAACUUGGGUGCAGAAGAGGAAAGUGGAAUUCCAUGUGUAGCGGUGAAAUGCGCAGAGAUAUGGAGGAACACCAGUGGCGAAGGCGACUUUCUGGUCUGUAACUGACGCUGAUGUGCGAAAGCGUGGGGAUCAAACAGGAUUAGAUACCCUGGUAGUCCACGCCGUAAACGAUGAGUGCUAAGUGUUAGGGGGUUUCCGCCCCUUAGUGCUGCAGCUAACGCAUUAAGCACUCCGCCUGGGGAGUACGACCGCAAGGUUGAAACUCAAAGGAAUUGACGGGGACCCGCACAAGCGGUGGAGCAUGUGGUUUAAUUCGAAGCAACGCGAAGAACCUUACCAAAUCUUGACAUCCUUUGACAACUCUAGAGAUAGAGCCUUCCCCUUCGGGGGACAAAGUGACAGGUGGUGCAUGGUUGUCGUCAGCUCGUGUCGUGAGAUGUUGGGUUAAGUCCCGCAACGAGCGCAACCCUUAAGCUUAGUUGCCAUCAUUAAGUUGGGCACUCUAAGUUGACUGCCGGUGACAAACCGGAGGAAGGUGGGGAUGACGUCAAAUCAUCAUGCCCCUUAUGAUUUGGGCUACACACGUGCUACAAUGGACAAUACAAAGGGCAGCGAAACCGCGAGGUCAAGCAAAUCCCAUAAAGUUGUUCUCAGUUCGGAUUGUAGUCUGCAACUCGACUACAUGAAGCUGGAAUCGCUAGUAAUCGUAGAUCAGCAUGCUACGGUGAAUACGUUCCCGGGUCU